Long non-coding RNA from Cyprinus carpio (common carp), 593 nucleotides. RefSeq lists it as uncharacterized. Lineage: Eukaryota; Metazoa; Chordata; Actinopteri; Cypriniformes; Cyprinidae. The record is from RefSeq and is a predicted model, not a curated record. The transcript is spliced from 3 exons.
UCUCAUUAUUCUGACAGUGAUCCUGGCGGCUGUCUUGUUUGGUAGAAUGACAAUAAAAGAUUGGGACAAAAAGAGAACACCAUAGACAAAACUCAGAUGUCUGAGGAUGAACCAGUGACACCUGCCUUCACAGCAAGAGUAUGUAGAUUGUAGGAUAAUUCUCAAUAAAGCAUGCAUGUCUUUUUUUUUUCAUUACUUUUUUUUUUUUACUGUAAGGAAUGAAGCGUUUGCAUUUUUCUUCUUGUCUGAUGCACACAUGGAAGUUGUAACAUCUGAGUAAUGUUGAAAUGUAGGGUUCGUUGAUAGUGUUAAUUAUGGGGGGUGGAAACACUGUAGGCAGUCUGUCAGGGCUGAGUGAGAUGAUUUCUUAAUUGAAGGGAAGUACACAAUGCAGUUGGUUGAUGUCUGAUUUACUGAAGACUUUGUGGGUACACAUAUGUGUGGUUUCUGAAAUGGAUUAAACGAGAAAUAAACUUAAUGAUAUGAAUAUGCAAUGUUCCACAAUAAACAUUAAAACACUGAACAGCACACUAUAUAAAUAUAACAACACAAAACAAUGCUAUUUUACACUAUUUAACGGGCGUUUAUGCUCU